RNAcentral lists this ribosomal RNA (428 nucleotides) under uncultured bacterium. RNAcentral's name for it is "partial 16S ribosomal RNA". It matches the Rfam family "Bacterial small subunit ribosomal RNA", at positions 354 to 796 of the family's 1533-position model. The record is from RNAcentral.
GUAGGGAAUAUUGCGCAAUGGACGAAAGUCUGACGCAGCGACGCCGCGUGAGUGAUGAAGGCCUUAGGGUCGUAAAGCUCUGUUGAAUGGGAAGAAAAAAAUGACGGUACCAUUCGAGGAAGGACCGGCUAACUUCGUGCCAGCAGCCGCGGUAAUACGAGGGGUCCUAGCGUUGUUCGGAAUCAUUGGUCGUACAGGGUGUGUAGGUGGCCAUGUAAGUCAGGUGUGAAAGCCCCGGGCUCAACCCGGGAAGUGCACUUGAUACUGCGUGGCUUGAGUACCGAAGAGGGUAGUGGAAUUCCAGGUGUAGGGGUGAAGUACGUAGAUAUCUGGAGGAACACCGGUGGCGAAGGCGGCUACCUGGUCGAGUACUGACACUGAGACACGAAAGCAUGGGGAUCAAACAGGAUUAGAAACCCGAGUAGUCC